CUUGAUGGAACACUACACCCAUCCUGUUUGCCAAUUCUGGACGCUUCUGGUCGAUCGCCUGCUUCAAGCGGUCCAGUUGUUCGGUAGAAUAAAGCGUGUGGCCAUAUGGGAGCAGCUCAUAGUGAAUGAUUCCCAUCCAAACCAACCAAACUCACAGCAAAACCUACUUGGUCGUCAAUCCCAGCUUCACCACUAUUUGGGACGAUUCACCAGCCUUCGACCACGACCGUUUUCGCUUGAUAUUGUCGUAUGUGAUCCAUUUUUCGUCGCCAGUCACCAUCCGCUUCAAAAAUGGGUCGAGUUCGUUCCGUUUCAGCAGCAUAUCGCAGGCGUUGAUUCGGUCCAGAAGGUUUUUUUUUGCGUCAAAUCAUGCGGCACCCAAACAUCAAGCUUUUUUGUGUAUCCAGCCUUCUGCAGAUGGUUUAAAAUGGUUUGGUGACUAACUCCCAUCUUCUGGGCGAUGUCACGAGAUGCCACAUGCCGGUCUAACUCGAUGUUUUCCAUGAUUUGAUCGGUAUUCGUCGUCACAGGUCUUCCGCCGGCUGGCUUAUCCAUGGUGUCGUUUUCACCCGCUCUGAAUCGUCGAAACCAUUCCUCCGCAGUUCGAAGUGAUAGAGUACCAUCCCCCAAAACAACAUUAAUCUCACGGAACGUUUCUCUAGCGGAUUUGCCUUUAACGAAGGAAAACUUUAAAAUAACGCGAAUUUCGGCGUUAGUGAACUCCAUGUUUACACGUCUAUAACUGUUGAACGCAAUAUCCAAACUAAUCAUGCAUAGCGUCGUUUUGUAGGCUAUGUCAAGACCUUUCAAAGGUCUUAGUAUUAUAGUACGAGUAUUGCCUGAUGCGAGCUCUGUAGCGCUUUAUA
Molecule: long non-coding RNA, 866 nt
Organism: Bactrocera dorsalis (oriental fruit fly)
Lineage: Eukaryota; Metazoa; Arthropoda; Insecta; Diptera; Tephritidae
Exons: 2
Source: RefSeq, a predicted model, not a curated record